RNAcentral lists this ribosomal RNA (253 nucleotides) under uncultured bacterium. RNAcentral's name for it is "partial 16S ribosomal RNA". It matches the Rfam family "Bacterial small subunit ribosomal RNA", at positions 524 to 776 of the family's 1533-position model. The record is from RNAcentral.
UACGGGGGGGGCAAGCGUUGUUCGGAAUUACUGGGCGUAAAGGGCUCGUAGGCGGCCAACUAAGUCAUACGUGAAAUCCCUCGGCUUAACCGGGGAACUGCGUCUGAUACUGGGUGGCUUGAAUCCGGGAGAGGGAUGCGGAAUUCCAGGUGUAGCGGUGAAAUGCGUAGAUAUCUGGAGGAACACCGGUGGCGAAGGCGGCAUCCUGGACCGGCAUUGACGCUGAGGCGCGAAAGCCAGGGGAGCAAACGGG